GAGUUUGAUCCUGGCUCAGGAUGAACGCUAGCGGGAGGCCUAACACAUGCAAGCCGAGCGGUAUUGUUUCUUCGGAAAUGAGAGAGCGGCGUACGGGUGCGGAACACGUGUGCAACCUGCCUUUAUCUGGGGGAUAGCCUUUCGAAAGGAAGAUUAAUACUCCAUAACAUAUUUAACGGCAUCGUUUGAUAUUGAAAGCUCCGGCGGAUAGAGAUGGGCACGCGCAAGAUUAGCUAGUUGGUGAGGUAACGGCUCACCAGGGCGAUGAUCUUUAGGGGGCCUGAGAGGGUGAUCCCCCACACUGGUACUGAGACACGGACCAGACUCCUACGGGAGGCAGCAGUGAGGAAUAUUGGUCAAUGGGUGCAAGCCUGAACCAGUCAUCCCGCGUGAAGGACGACUGCCCUAUGGGUUGUAAACUUCUUUGUAUAGGGAUAAACCUACCCUCGUGAGGGUAGCUGAAGGUACUAUACGAUAAGCACCGGCUAACUCCGUGCCAGCCGCCG
This 506-nucleotide ribosomal RNA is filed under the name uncultured microorganism. RNAcentral describes it as "bacterial SSU rRNA". It matches the Rfam family "Bacterial small subunit ribosomal RNA", at positions 9 to 517 of the family's 1533-position model. The record is from RNAcentral.